AAUGGGGGAAACCCUGAUCCAGCCAUGCCGCGUGAGUGAUGAAGGCCUUCGGGUUGUAAAGCUCUUUUAGCGGGGAAGAUAAUGACGGUACCCGCAGAAUAAGCCCCGGCUAACUUCGUGCCAGCAGCCGCGGUAAGACGAAGGGGGCUAGCGUUGUUCGGAAUUACUGGGCGUAAAGGGCGCGCAGGCGGCUCGACAAGUCAGGCGUUAAAGACCCAGGCUCAACCUGGGGAAUGCGCUUGAUACUGUUGGGCUUGAGAUCGGAAGAGGAGAGUGGAAUUCCCAGUGUAGAGGUGAAAUUCGUAGAUAUUGGGAAGAACACCAGUGGCGAAGGCGGCUCUCUGGUCCGAUUCUGACGCUGAGGCGCGAAAGCGUGGGGAGCAAA
Molecule: ribosomal RNA, 385 nt
Filed under: uncultured bacterium
Lineage: Bacteria
Description: bacterial SSU rRNA
Rfam family: Bacterial small subunit ribosomal RNA
Source: RNAcentral